UCUUUCGAGAAUCAUACAGGAAACAAAUCUUUCAGACCUUUGAAAUAUUUGGAACUUGGAGCAUAAUGCUCUGGCAGAUGCUUCGUAUUCAGUCUUCCAUGCACAAUUGCCGUUGCUCCCUAACUGGUAGUUCCGGUUCUCACCAGAUGCAGGAUUAAUUUAAAUGAGCACAAGGCUGACUGAGUGCGGAAUUCCAACUGAUAUGUCAUGAAGGUCACAAUGGAUAGCAAUUAUGACAUCAGUCGCGUGGCCACAACAAGUGGGAUAGGAGGUGGAGGACGAGUUGGAUCAUGAGCCAGCAAUACCUCAUGUCCAAGGGCAGAUUUCAGGGCCCGGGCUGCCAGGGCUAGCUGCAGCCCGGGAAGUAGCCCAAAGUCUUCAAUAACAGCUCUGCUAUGCACUGCAAAAAGAGCUCAAGUAAAUUGCCUUAAGCCUCACUCGACGGUGCCGAAACAUGGCCUCAGUGCCUCCUAACAGCUCUGCGAUUGAAUUUUAGCAAAAUUUCUACCCUUCUAAAGGGUGUAUGUUAGUAAAAUUUCUACCCUUCAAAUUGAACCCCCCUCCUAAACCAUUUCUAAAUCCGUCACUGCUCGUGUCAGCCUAGGUGCCUUGGAGAAUUGGUUCACACGAUUUCCCUCACCAAAGCAGUGGUAGAAGACGACUAUUUUGCUUCAUGAAUUCCCUAUGCAUCCCAAGCCUAUGGUAAUUCUGAAGCAGAUAUGAGCUUUCCCUUGAGGAUGCGUGCAUCCUGAAGGUUAAGUAGGCUUCAGAACUUUAUAGCAGAGAAACCACUUGUCAGCUUGUAUGCAAUUGAUCACACUUGAGCCUUCUUGCCAGUGUGCCACGAAGUGUUUUGCUCACCACAGGACAGGCACAUUAAGGAUUUAUAAAGCAUAUAAGUUAGAACAAAUGAACAAGGAACCAGAGCAGUUAUCCGCUUGGGAUUGAAAUAGUGAGGCCACAACCGAAGCUAUAAACUGGAUCUAACCAAGACUCCAUGAGCCUAAAAUAUUGCUCUAUUAUAAAAGGCAAAAUUUGCUACCAGACAUGCCAAGUGACCCCUCUUUGCUAGCGGAUAUGCAAAAUUUGACGAUUUGCUGGUGGAUACUCUGGUUCUUUACAAGUUUAUUGGUGGACACUCAACCCAAUAAAGUAUUAUUUUUCAGCUGUUGAGGAUAGAGAAGGGUGGUAAAAUAUCCAAUUCGCCCCUACACCUCUCUUCUACCUUGGCCUUCUCUCUCCCUUUUCUUCUUCUUCUUCUUCUCCAUUGAGAUCGUGGCC
RNAcentral lists this long non-coding RNA (1281 nucleotides) under Sorghum bicolor (sorghum). RNAcentral's name for it is "long non-coding RNA (SBIC_LNC009617)". The record is from RNAcentral. Lineage: Eukaryota; Viridiplantae; Streptophyta; Magnoliopsida; Poales; Poaceae.